Artibeus jamaicensis (Jamaican fruit-eating bat) is the source of this 947-nucleotide long non-coding RNA. RefSeq lists it as uncharacterized. NCBI's taxonomy places the organism in Eukaryota, Metazoa, Chordata, Mammalia, Chiroptera, Phyllostomidae. The transcript is spliced from 3 exons. The record is from RefSeq and is a predicted model, not a curated record.
CCUCCCCGACUGCCCGCGUCCAGUCCUCCUCCCGCUGGCCUCCAUCCAGAACGGCGUGUGCUGGGGAACAGGCCGUCCUGUGCGCCGUCCGUGCUUCAGUGAAAUUCAGCGCUUCCCAGGCCCCAGUGGAGGCGUCCAUCUCAAGAAAGACUUGGAAAGACGCACGUAUUCAAACCUGUGUGAACCUGGAACCCCAUGAAACAGUCUAAACCCGUUAUCCUUAUGGAUUCUCACAACGCCCCUGGAGGGUGUGUUCUGCAGAAGCCAAAGAGAGGACGGGAAUACAGAAGGUGCGUGGGGCACAGGGCCUGGUCUCUCCUCUACACUCAGAAGAAGGACAAGGCUGGCCCCUGACAGAUGUGGACAAAAGGGGUUCUACCAACAGUAACCUCACAGGGUGGUCUGACCCUAAAUUGCAGGUCCUGACUGCAGCUCCUGGCGAGCAGCCACACCCCCCGAAUGUAACUUUUCAGUGAAAGGUGUUCCUUUCCCUUAAGCAGCCCUGUCCAAUGUUUUCACGGAUCUUGGUAAAUAAACUUAACACAACGUGUUAAUUAUACUGUAAUCCAGCAACUUUCAACCUUUUUCACCACAGGGCACACAUAAACUAAUUACUAAAAUUCUGCGGCACACCCAAAAAUACAUUUUGUCCAGAUCUGACAAAACAGUAGGUAUAAUUUUGAUUCGUUCACACCUGAUGGCUAUUGUCGUGUUGGCUUCUGUCAUUUUUUUUUAAUUUGACAAUCUAAGGGAAAAAGGUCAGUGCCCCUGAUUAAAUAGUCGGGUGUUGCACGUUUUAAAAAUUCUUGCGGUGCACUGGUUGUAAUCCAAUCCCUACCUCGCUUUCUCCCACCUCAUGAAAUCAAUCCUUCUUAUUUCCCUGUUUAAUUUUAAAUGCAUAAAAGAAACUGCUAAAUCGUCAUCAUCUUGAGCUUUUGAGAUCUCGA